Non-coding RNA from Acyrthosiphon pisum (pea aphid), 46 nucleotides. The record is from Rfam. Lineage: Eukaryota; Metazoa; Arthropoda; Insecta; Hemiptera; Aphididae.
AAAAUGGCCCUUUUCAGGGCCAUCACCUAAACCUCAGCAAGGCACU